This 27-nucleotide non-coding RNA is filed under the name Homo sapiens (human). The record is from RNAcentral. Lineage: Eukaryota; Metazoa; Chordata; Mammalia; Primates; Hominidae.
UGACACUUCUGGAGAAGAGUAGGGGGC